Molecule: long non-coding RNA, 731 nt
Filed under: Homo sapiens (human)
Lineage: Eukaryota; Metazoa; Chordata; Mammalia; Primates; Hominidae
Description: HSALNT0100574
Source: RNAcentral
CUAGCCCUGGAAGGGCCUCAGGUGUUUCAGACACAGGUACAGCCAGCUCUUGCACAAACCCCUUUCCUGCCAAGCCAGGACUGCAUUUCCAGUCAUGGGCAGGCUUUGCUGCAAAUGAUUACACAGGACUAAACCUAGACAGACCUGAGGAGCAGAAGGCAGAGUCAAGCCAAACCAGAGCCAAGGGGAAGGGAGCCAAGGGGACUUGGCCAUGGGAGCAGACACACAAGCUGCGCCCUGGAGCUGAUCGAGUCCCUCGCAGGAGAGGGCUGGGCAGAGGAACCACGACGGCCAUGCGGAAGCCACACAAGAGCGAUCCAAUGUCUCAUCUCCGCCCUCAAUCAUGGCCUCCGCUGAUGCCAAAGUAAACCCAUUCAGCUUCAGGAGGCUUUUCAGCAAACAAAGCAUAAUUUGUACGACGGAUCUGUGUGUUACAGAGGAUCACGGGCAUUUGAAAUGACACAACUGGAAGCUAAAUCCAACAGCAGGGGAGACCCUUACCAAGGCGAGGUAAGUGGGCUACCCUCGGCCUCCCUUUCCCUGCUGUUGUUUUGGUAGCUGGACAGGGCUAGGGACAGGAAUAUCCUUUCCUUCUGUGGACGGUUUGGGGGUCAUGAGCAAUGCCCUGAGGGAGCCAUUUUCACCAGCCAAGGUAAGAUGGAGCCUCACUUUCCAAUCUUUUCAAUCCUGCCUGCUAAUGACCCUGCCCAUCUCUUUUUUUUUUUUUUUUU